This 848-nucleotide ribosomal RNA is filed under the name uncultured Sulfobacillus sp. RNAcentral's name for it is "bacterial SSU rRNA". It matches the Rfam family "Bacterial small subunit ribosomal RNA", at positions 8 to 877 of the family's 1533-position model. The record is from RNAcentral. Lineage: Bacteria; Bacillati; Bacillota; Clostridia; Eubacteriales; Clostridiales Family XVII. Incertae Sedis.
AGAGUUUGAUCCUGGCUCAGGACGAACGCUGGCGGCGUGCGUAAUACAUGCAAGUCGAGCGGACCUUCGGGUCAGCGGCGGACGGGUGAGGAACACGUGAGUCAUCGGUCGGCGGGUGGGGGAUAUCGGGCCGAAAGGCGCGGCAAUCCCGCAUACGUUCCCACGGGAAGAAAGCCGGGCGACCGGCGCCCGCCGAGGAGCUCGCGGCCCAUUAGCUAGUUGGCAGGGUAAGAGCCUCCCAAGGCGACGAUGGGUAGCCGGCCUGAGAGGGUGAACGGCCACACUGGGACUGAGACACGGCCCAGACUCCUACGGGAGGCAGCAGUAGGGAAUCUUCCACAAUGGGCGCAAGCCUGAUGGAGCAACGCCGCGUGAGUGAAGACGGCCUUCGGGUUGUAAAGCUCUGUCUGUCGGGACGAAGACCGGGACGGGAGUCCCGGGGAGCCGGUACCGACGAUGGAAGCCCCUGCAAACUACGUGCCAGCAGCCACGGUAAGACGUAGGGGGCAAGCGUUGUCCGGAAUUACUGGGCGUAAAGGGCGUGUAGGCGGUGCGAUACGUAGCGGUUUUAAGCCUCCGGCUCACCCGGAGGAGGGCGGCUAAACGGUCGCACUGGAGGGCAGGAGAGGUGCGUGGAAUUCCUGGUGGAGCGGUGAAAUGCGUAGAGAUCAGGAAGAACACCAGUGGCGAAGGCGGCGCACUGGCCUGGCCCUGACGCUGAGGCGCGACAGCGUGGGGAGCAAACGGGAUUAGAUACCCCGGUAGUCCACGCCGUAAACGAUGGAUACUAGGUGUCGUGGGGGUCCACCCUGCGGUGCCGGAGCUAACGCACUAAGUAUCCGCCUGGG